GGCACAAUUGAAAGGAAAAGAACGAAGCUGUUCAGUCAGCAGUGUGAAAUACGGCAGGCAGUUACUUUUUCGAGUUCCCGUACUGUUCUCGUGCUCUCUAAUUUCCAAGCCAGGCAGUUUCUUGGGCUAGCAGGUUACAUCAUCGUAACUCAGGCCUUCUCCGUCAAUAUUCCAUGGCCGUGGGAUAUAUCCAAGGCAUUUCCCCCUAUAGCAGGACCGGAUCGCCACCAUGGCAGCCGAAACAUCGUUAAGAUUGGAAGCGUUGCGAGUUAUCGGCCUCACUUUGAACAAGUUUUGAAUCGAGCCAUUUAGCCAGCCUACCAAACUGGCCAAAUACUCAGCAGAUACAGUUGUACUAUGUCUUACACUAACGGUGAUUAGCCCCUGCAUAAGUGCCACCUUAAUUACAUAGGAAUAAUCCUCUCAACGCCCAGAUGACAGGCGGGGGAGAAUAUCAGCUCCCAGCCCAGCGGCACGGGGCUGAUCCCUGCCCCUAACAGCAUUACCUGGCCCCAAGGGCGCAAUUGACAUUGAUGAAAUGGUGGGAUAUAUCCAUCUCGAGCGUGAGUACUGAAGGUGGAAGGGGAUACAAAUGUAUGGCUAGCAAGAUGCUGCCGAGAAAAAUCUCUCAUAUUAUUUUAUAUUCAUCCCAUACUUCCAUUCUUAUGUAUUUCGCUUUUAUUUAUUUCUAGAACUAUCAACGAGUGAAUUCAUUCCUUUCAUUCCUGGCUUUCUCCUCUCCUCUCUUCACCUAUUUAUUUGUUUAUCUGGUAUUUGUAUUUUUGGGUUCAUAUUGUUGGCGUUUUUGUUAGUCUGCCUCUACGUGGUAGGCAUUCAACUACUCAAAACACACCAGAAAUAGCUCGACCGUUAGAUAUGAUAUAUUGGCCUCAUCAAAUAAAGAGA
RNAcentral lists this small RNA (906 nucleotides) under Histoplasma capsulatum var. duboisii H88. RNAcentral describes it as "Histoplasma capsulatum H88 hypothetical RNA". Lineage: Eukaryota; Fungi; Ascomycota; Eurotiomycetes; Onygenales; Ajellomycetaceae. The record is from RNAcentral.